GUCUAUGUGAACUUUUGGUUGCAGUGUCGUCUAAGAGGGAAGAUAGAUUCCAAUGGCUGCACAGCUGCUUUUCUGGAAGAACGGCUGAAUAUGGGUCUCAAUUUUAUUCUUUCUGCCGAGAUUGAUCACAUGAAGAACGACUACAAAUUCGGGUUUGGUUUGACGGUAGGAGAAUAAAAGAAAAAAGAAGGGUCGGUGGUCUAUAUUUAAGGGGUGUAUUCUUUUUUAUUCUACUUGCUGCUGAUUUAAUUAGCUCGCUCUUGUUUAUUAGUUUCUUCGACUCUUUGAGCACAUGUCAUCAGCACAGCUCAAAUGAGUUACCUUUCGGGGGAUAGAUUUUUCUUAUCCUUUUUUUUGUUUUCGAAGGUAAAAGGAGAGAAUUUUUUAUUUUGUAUUCUGUUUGGGCGGGUCAAACAGCAUCAGCAUUCAUGGUUCCUUUCACUUCUUUGGUAGCCUUAAUUGACGAUGGCAAUUCAAGUCAUGAUUUUUCCUCGAGUAAAUCCUUAUGAUUGAAAUAAUGCAGGUUAAGAUGUCUGCCUUUUUCUUUUGGUUUGCAGGUUAAGAUAUUUCCUGCACUGAUUUAUUUAUUCAUUGAUAUACUGUGGUGGGGUUGGGUAAUAAUAAAAUCCUCGGUUACAGAGAGGCGGAAGGAGGAUCUAAUGGCACACAACCAGGUUGGUACUGAAGUAUACCAUUGAACAGAGGAGGCACAGUCAAGUUAACUCUUCAGCUUGCUGUUGAUUAUCCAUGGCUGGAUUGAAAUCUGUGACAGCCAAGACAUGCUGUUGGCAAUUGCUGUAAAACAACUCAAGGCACAAAUUGAAAACUGACCACGUGGCCUCUAGGAUGCUAGUUCUAUUCAGCUUGAAUAGGAUAGGACGAGGUGGCUGAACCUAAGAACCACGUGGCCUUGGGAGCUCCUAAAGGCUCAAAAGAUGCAUCCAACCCCUGUGAUCUUUGUCUUGUUGGCUCAUUGAGUGCUACACCAGAUGAUUGGAUCCAAAUAGCUGCUGGGAGUGAGUACAGAUCUUUAGGUGGGUGCAGUCGUCAUCAAGGAAGAGUGGACUUUCAAUAACAUUUUUCAUUUUAUUUUCUGGUAUUAAGUUUUCUUUCACCCGUGGUUGAACAGGGAAUCUCUUCAGUGUUGGUGAUGUGACACUAUGAUUGUACCUUGGGUCCAUUAUUAAUUUGCACCCCCUAUUGUAUUGAGUCGAAAGUAACCUUUGCCAGUCCAAUCAUUGUUAGAUCCCAUUGUUGAAGAGAUUCUCUCUUCACCAUCAGUGAGUAGAAACUGGGUUCAAAUC
Molecule: long non-coding RNA, 1304 nt
Organism: Macadamia integrifolia
Lineage: Eukaryota; Viridiplantae; Streptophyta; Magnoliopsida; Proteales; Proteaceae
Exons: 2
Source: RefSeq, a predicted model, not a curated record